RNAcentral lists this long non-coding RNA (1482 nucleotides) under Gossypium barbadense (sea-island cotton). The record is from RNAcentral. Lineage: Eukaryota; Viridiplantae; Streptophyta; Magnoliopsida; Malvales; Malvaceae.
UCUCAUCGUUUAACUAAUUAGUUAUUUACGGAAUAAAUCACUCGAAACGUUAUUUGGUCGUAUUUAAAUUCAAAUUCGAGGCUCAAGCGCGAUCAGGGGUAGCCUUUAUAUAAAUAGAAUGCGCAAGAAUUGACGGGUGCGAUCAUAUCAGCACUAAUGCACCGGAUCCCAUCAGAACUCCGCAGUUAAGCGUGCUUGGGCGAGAGUAGUACUAGGAUGGGUGACCUCCUGGGAAGUCCUCGUGUUGCACCCCUCCAAUUUUAUAUCUCAUUAAAUUUUUUUCUAUUUUUUUAUAUCUCAUCGUUUAACUAAUUAGUUAUUUACGGAAUAAAUCACUCGAAACGUUAUUUGGUCGUAUUUAAAUUCAAAUUCGAGGCUCAAGCGCGAUCAGGGGUAGCCUUUAUAUAAAUAGAAUGCGCAAGAAUUGACGGGUGCGAUCAUACCAGCACUAAUGCACCGGAUCCCAUCAGAACUCCGCAGUUAAGCGUGCUUGGGCGAGAGUAGUACUAGGAUGGGUGACCUCCUGGGAAGUCCUCGUGUUGCACCCCUCCAAUUUUAUAUCUCAUUAAAUUUUUUUCUAUUUUUUCUUAUAUCUCAUCGUUAACUAAUUAGUUAUUUACGGAAUAAAUCACUCGAAACGUUAUUUGGUCGUAUUUAAAUUCAAAUUCGAGGCUCAAGCGCGAUCAGGGGUAGCCUUUAUAUAAAUAGAAUGCGCAAGAAUUGACGGGUGCGAUCAUACCAGCACUAAUGCACCGGAUCCCAUCAGAACUCCGCAGUUAAGCGUGCUUGGGCGAGAGUAGUACUAGGAUGGGUGACCUCUGGGAAGUCCUCGUGUUGCACCCCUCCAAUUUUAUAUCUCAUUAAAUUUUUUUCUAUUUUUUUUAUAUCUCAUCGUUAACUAAUUAGUUAUUUACGGAAUAAAUCACUCGAAACGUUAUUUGGUCGUAUUUAAAUUCAAAUUCGAGGCUCAAGCGCGAUCAGGGGUAGCCUUUAUAUAAAUAGAAUGCGCAAGAAUUGACGGGUGCGAUCAUACCAGCACUAAUGCACCGGAUCCCAUCAGAACUCCGCAGUUAAGCGUGCUUGGGCGAGAGUAGUACUAGGAUGGGUGACCUCCUGGGAAGUCCUCGUGUUGCACCCCUCCAAUUUUAUAUCUCAUUAAAUUUUUUUCUAUUUUUUUUAUAUCUCAUCGUUUAACUAAUUAGUUAUUUACGGAAUAAAUCACUCGAAACGUUAUUUGGUCGUAUUUAAAUUCAAAUUCGAGGCUCAAGCGCGAUCAGGGGUAGCCUUUAUAUAAAUAGAAUGCGCAAGAAUUGACGGGUGCGAUCAUACCAGCACUAAUGCACCGGAUCCCAUCAGAACUCCGAAGUUAAGCGUGCUUGGGCGAGAGUAGUACUAGGAUGGGUGACCUCCUGGGAAGUCCUCGUGUUGCACCCCUCCAAUUUUAUAUCUCAUUAAAUUUUUUUUCUAUUUUUUUUAUAUCUC